CAGCUAUAAACCUUUCGGUUCAUCAGUCAGCUCUUUUACACAGACAACGCUGAACAGUCUUUAAUUCAAAUGCAUUUAUAACAAGUAAGCAUUUCAGAAUCUUAACUAUGGGGAGAAGAGUGAAACACAGGCAUUCAUUUCCUCCUCCAUCUUCCUGAGAAGGCACGGUUACUUCGGACAGCAAACAAAUUAACCAGUACAGAAGACAUCCACAAACUAAAGGCUUUUGUUUUUAUUUAGAUAUCAGCUAUGUAGUAGAGUACAUUCAGGAAGUACUUGCAUCAGUUUGGCAUUUCUCAAGCACCUGACAGCUGCUCCUUUUACAUAUAACAAUUAUCCCCUUUUUUUCGUGCAGCUUAGUUAAAACCUACUGGCUGACUCAGGUAUUAAUGAAUCCACUGCUACACAAACAAAGCAGAAAAUCAUUCUUUGGUUGUACCACUAAAUCAUUAGUAUCAUUAGUGGCACAACCCACUGCUGUACCACUACUGAUACUAAUAAUGUCUUCGUUAUUAGAUACAGAGAUAAAAUUGUAAUUCAGUUAAUUGGAAUACGACAGUAAAAAGUCAAAAUAUCCCCAAGUUGUGUUCAGGAAAGGAUGCAUGAAGUAAUUUUAGCCAAAACUGGAAUUUACUUUCACCAGUAGCACUGCAAGAUUGUCUCUAAAAGAGAAUGUAUGAUAAAAGGAAGACACUACAUUUUGUUGUGACUAAA
This 714-nucleotide long non-coding RNA is filed under the name Numida meleagris (helmeted guineafowl). RNAcentral describes it as "lncRNA (ENSNMEG00000004586.1)". The record is from RNAcentral. Lineage: Eukaryota; Metazoa; Chordata; Aves; Galliformes; Numididae.